GCCGCGUGUGCGAAGAAGGCCUUCGGGUUGUAAAGCACUUUUCGGGAGGAAGAGGAAGGACUGUGCUCCCGGAAUAAGUCUCGGCUAACUACGUGCCAGCAGCCGCGGUAAUACGUAGGAGGCAAACGUUAUCCGGAUUUACUGGGCGUAAAGCGCGUGCAGGCGGUUUGAUAAGUUGGAUGUGAAAGCUCCCGGCUCAACUGGGAGAGGUCAUUCAAUACUGUCAGACUUGAGGAUGGUAGAGGGAGGUGGAAUUCCGGGUGUAGUGGUGAAAUGCGCAGAUAUCCGGAGGAACACCAGUGGCGAAAGCGGCCUCCUGGACCAUUCCUGACGCUCAGACGCGAAAGCUAGGGUAGCAAACGGGAUUAGAGACCCCGGUAGUCCUAGCUGUAAACGAUGUGAACUUGGCGUCGGUGGGAUUAAAUCCAUCGGUGUCGAAGCUAACGCGAUAAGUUCACCGCCUGAGGACUACGGCCGCAAGGUUAAAACUCAAAGGAAUU
Molecule: ribosomal RNA, 500 nt
Filed under: uncultured bacterium
Lineage: Bacteria
Description: bacterial SSU rRNA
Rfam family: Bacterial small subunit ribosomal RNA
Source: RNAcentral